This 253-nucleotide ribosomal RNA is filed under the name uncultured bacterium. RNAcentral describes it as "partial 16S ribosomal RNA". It matches the Rfam family "Bacterial small subunit ribosomal RNA", at positions 524 to 776 of the family's 1533-position model. The record is from RNAcentral.
UACAGAGGAUGCAAGCGUUAUCCGGAAUUACUGGGCGUAAAGCGCACGUAGGCGGCUUUGUAAGUUAGAGGUGAAAGCCCGGGGCUCAACUCCGGAAUUGCCUUUAAGACUGCAUCGCUAGAAUUGUGGAGAGGUAAGUGGAAUUCCGAGUGUAGAGGUGAAAUUCGUAGAUAUUCGGAAGAACACCAGUGGCGAAGGCGACUUACUGGACACAUAUUGACGCUGAGGUGCGAAAGCGUGGGGAGCAAACAGG